Molecule: long non-coding RNA, 691 nt
Organism: Danaus plexippus (monarch butterfly)
Lineage: Eukaryota; Metazoa; Arthropoda; Insecta; Lepidoptera; Nymphalidae
Exons: 2
Source: RefSeq, a predicted model, not a curated record
CAUAACAACGAUAACAAAUAUUUUUAUUUAAAAAAUAUCAGAUUUAUGGUAUCUAAUAAUUGUAACAACAUCGAAUACGAUAUUAAAAUAUAGAAAAAUGAGAGGAACAGGAGCUAGACCUAUGGACAUCGAUCAUUGGUUAAACAGGACCAUACUAACGCUAUUAAUAGGACAAUCAGUAAUAUAUAUAUUUUUUAAGUUUCCAUUUUAUAAGAAUGUUGAUUAGUUAAUAGAUAAAUCACUUCACCAACAGGCUUCAAUAAUCAAUAUUAUCUUUUUAUCUCUCUUUUGAUUGUGGUUUUAUUUUGGCUGUUUGUGUGCAACGUGAUACUUUAAAGGCAUCGUACGUCGUCGUCAUAUUAGGCUAUAUAGACAAAGUAAGUAGCACUUAUAUUUCCAUAUAAGUAAAAAUAGGAUGUGAAAUUCAGAUAUAAGUAUAAAUAUGUUUUUACUCACUACUUACUGUCUGUUUAAAAUGAUUUCGAACCUAUGUUCUUACGUAAAUAGGCGUCAAUCAUGGAGAUCAAAAUGGGUUGUCUGUUAUGACUUAUUUAUAAAUAACUAAAGAAAUUGGUCUCAAAUCGUAUAACGGAAACGUUUUACUUAAAAUAUUUAGACGCGAAAAUUGCCUAUUUAUAACAAGUCUAUAAGUACAUUAAAUAAAACUGUAAUUUUUGGAUUUCUCAAGAAA